RNAcentral lists this long non-coding RNA (576 nucleotides) under Oryza sativa tropical japonica subgroup. RNAcentral describes it as "lncRNA OsAzu_09g0007210". Lineage: Eukaryota; Viridiplantae; Streptophyta; Magnoliopsida; Poales; Poaceae. The record is from RNAcentral.
AAAUUCUCCUCAAAAAUCCACGAGGGUGAUUCCACGCCGUGGAUCGACUGCUUUCGUGAUUACUAUGGACAGUCCACCUCGCGUGACCUUGGCGAUCUUUCGCGCCUUGACACGAUCAUCUGGAAGGACAUCAUCGCGGGCCUUGCACACUUCCACAGUGUUUCGAAAUCCAUAAUUGGAGAUGGUCGGUCCACUUCCUUCUGGUUUGAUAAUUGGAUUGGAGGCGGCGCCCUCUUUCAACUGUUCCCUGCCUUGUUCUCACAUGCAACUCGCCCCAACAUCUCUGUCGUGGACGCCCUAGCUGCUCCUGAAUUGCUACUUCAUCUUAGGCCCCAGUUGUCGACGGUGGCCACACACGAAUUGGCCACUGUCCAAGCCCUGGUAUGCCACCUAGUGUUAGACCCUGAGACGAAAGACAGACGCACCUCGUCCACAGAUCGCCCCCUCAUAGCAAAAACAACCUACGACUUAAGCUCGUCAGGGACAACCACGGUCAAGUUAAAUGCAAGAUCUUCCUUUGGACUACACACAAGAGGCGCAUCUUCACCAAUGAGAGACGAGCUCGACGUGGAUUAG